Physeter macrocephalus (sperm whale) is the source of this 283-nucleotide long non-coding RNA. RefSeq lists it as uncharacterized. Lineage: Eukaryota; Metazoa; Chordata; Mammalia; Artiodactyla; Physeteridae. The record is from RefSeq and is a predicted model, not a curated record. The transcript is spliced from 3 exons.
CAGAAGAAAUGGAGAUCAUCCAGCCUGGAAGGGCCACUAGGAACCCCCGCCCCAAGGAAAACAGCCAUUGAACCUCUGGAGAGCUCUUCUCACAGUAAACUAUAUGAAAUCAUCAUGUGACUUCACAGGAAAUUUGAUCACCGUCUCAGGCGGAGGUCCUGACUCUAAUCCUUUAACAACGCUGGCUGGACUCUGCAAUUAUCACAGUUUCUGAAGAAAGACGCUCAUCGGUAUUCAGGACUCAUCUCGGCAGGCAAAACCUUUAAUGCCUUUGGGAUUUCCU